RNAcentral lists this ribosomal RNA (688 nucleotides) under uncultured bacterium. RNAcentral's name for it is "bacterial SSU rRNA". It matches the Rfam family "Bacterial small subunit ribosomal RNA", at positions 28 to 694 of the family's 1533-position model. The record is from RNAcentral.
AUUGAACGCUGGCGGCAGUGCCGAACACAUGCAAGUCGAGCGGAAACGAGUUAUCUGAACCUUCGGGGAACGAUAACGGCGUCGAGCGGCGGACGGGUGAGUAAUGCCUGGGAAAUUGCCCUGAUGUGGGGGAUAACCAUUGGAAACGAUGGCUAAUACCGCAUAAUAGCUUCGGCUCAAAGAGGGGGACCUUCGGGCCUCUCGCGUCAGGAUAUGCCCAGGUGGGAUUAGCUAGUUGGUGAGGUAAGGGCUCACCAAGGCGACGAUCCCUAGCUGGUCUGAGAGGAUGAUCAGCCACACUGGAACUGAGACACGGUCCAGACUCCUACGGGAGGCAGCAGUGGGGAAUAUUGCACAAUGGGCGCAAGCCUGAUGCAGCCAUGCCGCGUGUAUGAAGAAGGCCUUCGGGUUGUAAAGUACUUUCAGCAGUGAGGAAGGGAUGUACGUUAAUAGCGUGCAUCUUUGACGUUAGCUGCAGAAGAAGCACCGGCUAACUCCGUGCCAGCAGCCGCGGUAAUACGGAGGGUGCGAGCGUUAAUCGGAAUUACUGGGCGUAAAGCGCAUGCAGGUGGUUUGUUAAGUCAGAUGUGAAAGCCCGGGGCUCAACCUCGGAAUUGCAUUUGAAACUGGCAGACUAGAGUACUGUAGAGGGGGGUAGAAUUUCAGGUGUAGCGGUGAAAUGCGUAAA